UUGAGCUUAACUAUAUGUGUUGAAAAGGUUCAAGUUUGGGGUUGUACGGGGGAAAUUGAAAGGCAAUUGAAAAGCAUUGAGCACAAUUGUUGAGAAAGAAAAAUGCUUGAGAAACAGAAAAGAAAAGAAGAAAAGCAUGAAAAUGAGCUCAAUGUAAAAGAAAAGGGAAGAAGUUGGGAAUAAGUGAGAUUGGUGAGGAAGAGAGUUGUGCUUAAAUUUUGAAUACUAUGGUAGCUCUCUUAACUCAAGGUCUUUGCAUUCCAGAAAAACCAAUUUUUCUUGUUAGCCCAGCCUCAAUACAAGCCUUGGAAAAGUCCUUGUGAUAGCAUUUGCAUGUGAAGAUCUUGAUUGUUUUAGAUCAAUGGUAGUGUUGUUUCAUGUGACUUGUUAAUAAUAGAGAGUUGGAGUGUCACCCUAAACACUUGAGUGAUUGAGUGAAACACUUGCUUGGUGAGAAUUGCUAAAUUUCAUGCUUACAUCUUUGCUUAGUGGAUUGGUCAUUCAUAAAGUGUAACAUUUGUUGAGAAAUAUGUGAUCUAGUGAACUGAAUUGAAUUGAAAGCAUGCAUGCAUCUUGAUUUGAUUUCACUGAAGGUCUGAAAUUGUGUAGUUCUUGUCAUGUAUUUUAGGAGUGUUGAACCAUUGGAUGAAAUAGUAGAAAGCCAAGUUUUG
This 671-nucleotide long non-coding RNA is filed under the name Vigna radiata. RNAcentral's name for it is "long non-coding RNA (VRAD_LNC013414)". Lineage: Eukaryota; Viridiplantae; Streptophyta; Magnoliopsida; Fabales; Fabaceae. The record is from RNAcentral.